RNAcentral lists this ribosomal RNA (591 nucleotides) under Blastocystis sp. Its description in RNAcentral is "SSU rRNA". It matches the Rfam family "Eukaryotic small subunit ribosomal RNA", at positions 1 to 1122 of the family's 1831-position model. Lineage: Eukaryota; Bigyra; Opalinata; Blastocystidae. The record is from RNAcentral.
UGAUAUAUCUGGUUGAUCCUGCCAGUAGUCAUACGCUAGUCUCAAAGAUUAAGACAUGCAUGUGUAAGUGUAAAUAUAAAAGUUUGGAACUGCGAAUGGCUCAUUAUAUCAGUUAUAGUUUAUUUGGUGAAGUGUACUAGUUGGAUAACCGUAGUAAUUCUAGGGCUAAUACAUGAGAAAGUCCUCUGGUGAGGGGUGUUUAUUAGAAUGAAAACCAUAUGCUUCGGCAUGAUAGUGAGUAAUAGUAACGUAUCGUAUCGCAUGGUUAAUGUAGCGAUGAGUCUUUCAAGUUUCUGCCCUAUCAGCUUUCGAUGGUAGUAUAUGGGCCUACCAUGGCAGUAACGGGUAGCGAAGAAUUUGGGUUCGAUUUCGGAGAGGGAGCCUGAGAGAUGGCUACCACAUCCAAGGAAGGCAGCAGGCGCGUAAAUUACCCAAUCCUGACGCAGGGAGGUAGUGACAAUAAAUCACAAUGCGGGACUAUCGGUCUUGCAAUUGGAUUGAGAGCAGAUGUACAACUCUUGUGGAGAAGCCAUUGGAGGGCAAGUCUGGAGGCAGCAGCCGCGGUAAUUCCAAUGGCAAAACGGGGGGGGA